Molecule: ribosomal RNA, 932 nt
Filed under: Candidatus Phytoplasma asteris-related phytoplasma
Lineage: Bacteria; Bacillati; Mycoplasmatota; Mollicutes; Acholeplasmatales; Acholeplasmataceae
Description: bacterial SSU rRNA
Rfam family: Bacterial small subunit ribosomal RNA
Source: RNAcentral
GCUUAGGGAGGAGCUUGCGUCACAUUAGUUAGUUGGUGGGGUAAAGGCCUACCAAGACUAUGAUGUGUAGCCGGGCUGAGAGGUUGAACGGCCACAUUGGGACUGAGACACGGCCCAAACUCCUACGGGAGGCAGCAGUAGGGAAUUUUCGGCAAUGGAGGAAACUCUGACCGAGCAACGCCGCGUGAACGAUGAAGUAUUUCGGUACGUAAAGUUCUUUUAUUAGGGAAGAAUAAAUGAUGGAAAAAUCAUUCUGACGGUACCUAAUGAAUAAGCCCCGGCUAACUAUGUGCCAGCAGCCGCGGUAAUACAUAGGGGGCAAGCGUUAUCCGGAAUUAUUGGGCGUAAAGGGUGCGUAGGCGGUUAAAUAAGUUUAUGGUCUAAGUGCAAUGCUCAACAUUGUGAUGCUAUAAAAACUGUUUAGCUAGAGUAAGAUAGAGGCAAGUGGAAUUCCAUGUGUAGUGGUAAAAUGCGUAAAUAUAUGGAGGAACACCAGUAGCGAAGGCGGCUUGCUGGGUCUUUACUGACGCUGAGGCACGAAAGCGUGGGGAGCAAACAGGAUUAGAUACCCUGGUAGUCCACGCCGUAAACGAUGAGUACUAAACGUUGGGUAAAACCAGUGUUGAAGUUAACACAUUAAGUACUCCGCCUGAGUAGUACGUACGCAAGUAUGAAACUUAAAGGAAUUGACGGGACUCCGCACAAGCGGUGGAUCAUGUUGUUUAAUUCGAAGGUACCCGAAAAACCUCACCAGGUCUUGACAUGCUUCUGCAAAACUGUAGAAACACAGUGGANGUUAUCAGUUGCACAGGUGGUGCAUGGUUGUCGUCAGCUCGUGUCGUGAGAUGUUGGGUUAAGUCCCGCAACGAGCGCAACCCUUAUUGUUAGUUACCAGCACGUAAUGGUGGGGACUUUAGCAAGACUGCCAGUGA